GACGAACGCUGGCGGCGUGCCUAAUACAUGCAAGUAGAACGCUGAAGAGAGGAGCUUGCUCUUCUUGGAUGAGUUGCGAACGGGUGAGUAACGCGUAGGUAGCCUGCCUUGUAGCGGGGGAUAACUAUUGGAAACGAUAGCUAAUACCGCAUAACAAUAGGUGACACAUGUCAUUUAUUUGAAAGGGGCAAUUGCUCCACUACAAGAUGGACCUGCGUUGUAUUAGCUAGUAGGUGAGGUAACGGCUCACCUAGGCGACGAUACAUAGCCGACCUGAGAGGGUGAUCGGCCACACUGGGACUGAGACACGGCCCAGACUCCUACGGGAGGCAGCAGUAGGGAAUCUUCGGCAAUGGGGGCAACCCUGACCGAGCAACGCCGCGUGAGUGAAGAAGGUUUUCGGAUCGUAAAGCUCUGUUGUAAGUCAAGAACGAGUGUGAGAGUGGAAAGUUCACACUGUGACGGUAGCUUACCAGAAAGGGACGGCUAACUACGUG
This 497-nucleotide ribosomal RNA is filed under the name uncultured bacterium. Its description in RNAcentral is "partial 16S ribosomal RNA". It matches the Rfam family "Bacterial small subunit ribosomal RNA", at positions 28 to 507 of the family's 1533-position model. The record is from RNAcentral.